This 108-nucleotide ribosomal RNA is filed under the name Acanthosepion pharaonis. Lineage: Eukaryota; Metazoa; Mollusca; Cephalopoda; Sepiida; Sepiidae. The record is from RNAcentral.
GGGAUUACAGUCACUUUGAAACCCCGAUUCCCGUACGAUCAGCGAGGUUAAGCAAUGUCGAGCCUGGUCAGAACCUAGAUGGGUGACCGUUUGGGAACAUCAGCUGUU